AACGUAGGAGGCGAGCGUUAUCCGGAUUUACUGGGCGUAAAGCGCGCGCAGGCGGCUUCGUUAGUCGGAUGUGAAAGCUCCUGGCUUAACUGGGAGAGGCCAUUCGAUACUGCGGGGCUUGAGGUUGGGAGAGGAGUGUGGAAUUCCCGGUGUAGUGGUGGAAUGCGUAGAUAUCGGGAGGAACACCUGUGGCGAAAGCGACACUCUGGCCCACACCUGACGCUGAGGUGCGAAAGCGUGGGUAGCAAACAGG
This 253-nucleotide ribosomal RNA is filed under the name uncultured bacterium. RNAcentral's name for it is "partial 16S ribosomal RNA". It matches the Rfam family "Bacterial small subunit ribosomal RNA", at positions 524 to 776 of the family's 1533-position model. The record is from RNAcentral.